RNAcentral lists this long non-coding RNA (230 nucleotides) under Homo sapiens (human). RNAcentral describes it as "HSALNT0249127". The record is from RNAcentral. Lineage: Eukaryota; Metazoa; Chordata; Mammalia; Primates; Hominidae.
AUCAUUUCAAUAUUGUCACCUGAGUCCAGAUUCUCCUAGAGUAUUUGCUGAUUGCUUUUUAGGUGACCUAUAUACAAAGUUAUAAAAUAAUAUGAGUAUUUACUACUUUUUUGUUAAUGUUCAUCUUUGAACCUUGAGUCAUCUUAGAAUAUGUUUAAUUGGGCUGAGUGUGAGCCACUGUGCCCAGCUGAGAUAAGCACAUUUCACUGGAUUCCUUUAUUUAGUUCUUU